UGAAACCUUAACCGAAAUUGCCAACAUUAAUCCUCAUCUUUUACUAACAUCACAAAGAUUAGAGGGCUCUUUAUUGAAGAACAAAACAAAAUUUCAAGGAAGGGGGAGAUAAGGGUUUAGCUUGACUAAGUUGAGCAGGAUUUCUCUCCUUUUCAUUCAGUUUCCUGACUCUUUCCCUUCCUUAAGACUUCAAUUGAUAUGUCUUAUGUGAGUGUUGUUGCCAAAAAAGCUUAA
This 234-nucleotide unclassified non-coding RNA is filed under the name Hevea brasiliensis (rubber tree). The record is from RNAcentral. Lineage: Eukaryota; Viridiplantae; Streptophyta; Magnoliopsida; Malpighiales; Euphorbiaceae.